UCCUCAGUAGCUUAGUUGGUAAAGCACUUGUCUAGCGAAUAAGGGUCGUGAGUUCAAAUCUCACCUGAGCUG
Non-coding RNA from Aedes albopictus (Asian tiger mosquito), 72 nucleotides. The record is from Rfam. NCBI's taxonomy places the organism in Eukaryota, Metazoa, Arthropoda, Insecta, Diptera, Culicidae.